GUAUUGGUGGUUCAGUGGUAGAAUUCUCACCUUCCAUGCGGGAGACCCGGGUUUAAUUCCUGGCCAAUGCG
This 71-nucleotide transfer RNA is filed under the name Loxodonta africana (African savanna elephant). It matches the Rfam family "tRNA". Rfam says of the family: Transfer RNA (tRNA) molecules are approximately 80 nucleotides in length. Their secondary structure includes four short double-helical elements and three loops (D, anti-codon, and T loops). Lineage: Eukaryota; Metazoa; Chordata; Mammalia; Proboscidea; Elephantidae. The record is from Rfam by way of RNAcentral.